GGUUAAGUGACUAAGCGUACACGGUGGAUGCCUUGGCAGUCAGAGGCGAUGAAAGACGUAGUAACUUGCGAUAAGCCCAGAUUAGGUAGUAACAACCAUUUGAGUCUGGGAUUUCUGAAUGGGGAAACCCACGUGCAUAAGCACGUAUCCUUACCUGAAUACAUAGGGUAAGGAGGCGAACCGGGGGAACUGAAACAUCUAAGUACCCCGAGGAAAAGAAAUCAACCGAGAUUCCGAAAGUAGCGGCGAGCGAAAUUGGACUAGCCCUUAAGCUUUACACGCGUUAGACGAACGGUCUGGAAAGUCCGACGAUACAGGGUGAUAGUCCCGUAGUUGACGACGUGUGUUCAGUGAAAUCGAGUAGGGCGGGACACGUGAUAUCCUGUCUGAAUAUGGGGGGACCAUCCUCCAAGGCUAAAUACUACUGACUGACCGAUAGUGAACCAGUACCGUGAGGGAAAGGCGAAAAGAACCCCUGUGAGGGGAGUGAAAUAGAACCUGAAACCGUGUACGUACAAGCAGUAGGAGCACCUUCGUGGUGUGACUGCGUACCUUUUGUAUAAUGGGUCAGCGACUUAUAUUCAGUGGCAAGGUUAACCAUCUAGGGGAGCCGUAGGGAAACCGAGUCUUAACUGGGCGUUCAGUCUCUGGAUAUAGACCCGAAACCAGGUGAUCUAGCCAUGGGCAGGUUGAAGGUUGAGUAACAUCAACUGGAGGACCGAACCGACUAAUGUUGAAAAAUUAGCGGAUGACUUGUGGCUAGGGGUGAAAGGCCAAUCAAACCUGGAGAUAGCUGGUUCUCCCCGAAAGCUAUUUAGGUAGCGCCUCGGACGAAUACUACUGGGGGUAGAGCACUGUUAAGGCUAGGGGGUCAUCCCGACUUACCAACCCUUUGCAAACUCCGAAUACCAGUAAGUACUAUCCGGGAGACACACGGCGGGUGCUAACGUCCGUCGUGGAGAGGGAAACAACCCAGACCGCCAGCUAAGGUCCCAAAUUACUACUAAGUGGGAAACGAUGUGGGAAGGCUCAGACAGCCAGGAUGUUGGCUUAGAAGCAGCCAUCAUUUAAAGAAAGCGUAAUAGCUCACUGGUCGAGUCGGCCUGCGCGGAAGAUGUAACGGGGCUAAGUAGUAAACCGAAGCUGCGGCAAUAUACUUUUGUAUAUUGGGUAGGGGAGCGUUCUGUAAGCGGUUGAAGGUGUGUGGUAACGCAUGCUGGACGUAUCAGAAGUGCGAAUGCUGACAUGAGUAACGAUAAAGGGGGUGAAAAACCUCCUCGCCGGAAGACCAAGGGUUCCUGUCCAACGUUAAUCGGGGCAGGGUAAGUCGACCCCUAAGGCGAGGCCGAAAGGCGUAGUCGAUGGGAAACGGGUUAAUAUUCCCGUACUUCUUACAAUUGCGAUGGGGGGACGGAGAAGGCUAGGUGGGCCUGGCGACGGUUGUCCAGGUUCAAGUGCGUAGGCUUGAGAGUUAGGUAAAUCCGGCUCUUUCUAAGGCUGAGACACGACGUCGAGCACCUACGGGUGUGAAGUCAUUGAUGCCAUGCUUCCAGGAAAAGCCUCUAAGCUUCAGAUUGUAAGGAAUCGUACCCCAAACCGACACAGGUGGUCGGGUAGAGAAUACCAAGGCGCUUGAGAGAACUCGGGUGAAGGAACUAGGCAAAAUGGUACCGUAACUUCGGGAGAAGGUACGCUCUUGAUGGUGAAGUCCCUCGCGGAUGGAGCUGACGAGAGUCGCAGAUACCAGGUGGCUGCAACUGUUUAUUAAAAACACAGCACUGUGCAAAAUCGUAAGAUGACGUAUACGGUGUGACGCCUGCCCGGUGCCGGAAGGUUAAUUGAUGGGGUUAGACUUCGGUCGAAGCUCUUGAUCGAAGCCCCGGUAAACGGCGGCCGUAACUAUAACGGUCCUAAGGUAGCGAAAUUCCUUGUCGGGUAAGUUCCGACCUGCACGAAUGGCGUAAUGAUGGCCACGCUGUCUCCACCCGAGACUCAGUGAAAUUGAAAUCGCUGUGAAGAUGCAGUGUACCCGCGGCUAGACGGAAAGACCCCGUGAACCUUUACUACAGCUUGGCACUGAACAUUGACCCUACAUGUGUAGGAUAGGUGGGAGGCUUUGAAGCACGUACGCCAGUAUGUGUGGAGCCGUCCUUGAAAUACCACCCUUGUAGUGUUGAUGUUCUAACGUCGACCCCUAAUCGGGGUUGCGGACAGUGCCUGGUGGGUAGUUUGACUGGGGCGGUCUCCUCCCAAAGAGUAACGGAGGAGCACGAAGGUGGGCUAAUCACGGUUGGACAUCGUGAGGUUAGUGCAAUGGCAUAAGCCCGCUUGACUGCGAGAAUGACAAUUCGAGCAGGUGCGAAAGCAGGUCAUAGUGAUCCGGUGGUUCUGAAUGGAAGGGCCAUCGCUCAACGGAUAAAAGGUACUCCGGGGAUAACAGGCUGAUACCGCCCAAGAGUUCAUAUCGACGGCGGUGUUUGGCACCUCGAUGUCGGCUCAUCACAUCCUGGGGCUGAAGUCGGUCCCAAGGGUAUGGCUGUUCGCCAUUUAAAGUGGUACGCGAGCUGGGUUUAGAACGUCGUGAGACAGUUCGGUCCCUAUCUGCCGUGGGCGUUGGAAGAUUGAAGGGGGCUGCUCCUAGUACGAGAGGACCGGAGUGGACGAACCUCUGGUGUUCGGGUUGUGUCGCCAGACGCAUUGCCCGGUAGCUAAGUUCGGAAUCGAUAACCGCUGAAAGCAUCUAAGCGGGAAGCGAGCCCUGAGAUGAGUCUUCCCUGAUACUUUAAGUAUCCUAAAGGGUUGUCGGAGACUACGACGUUGAUAGGUCAGGUGUGUAAGUGCUGUGAGGCAUUGAGCUAACUGAUACUAAUUGCCCGUGAGGCUUAACCAU
This 2890-nucleotide ribosomal RNA is filed under the name Vibrio parahaemolyticus. RNAcentral's name for it is "bacterial LSU rRNA". It matches the Rfam family "Bacterial large subunit ribosomal RNA". Lineage: Bacteria; Pseudomonadati; Pseudomonadota; Gammaproteobacteria; Vibrionales; Vibrionaceae. The record is from RNAcentral.